Molecule: unclassified non-coding RNA, 372 nt
Filed under: uncultured Discostroma
Lineage: Eukaryota; Fungi; Ascomycota; Sordariomycetes; Amphisphaeriales; Amphisphaeriaceae
Description: sequence contains ITS2
Rfam family: 5.8S ribosomal RNA (bases 1-154)
Source: RNAcentral
AACUUUUGACAACGGAUCUCUUGGUUCUGGCAUCGAUGAAGAACGCAGCGAAAUGCGAUACGUAAUGUGAAUUGCAGAAUUCAGUGAAUCAUCGAAUCUUUGAACGCACAUUGCGCCCAUUAGUAUUCUAGUGGGCAUGCCUGUUCGAGCGUCAUUUCAACCCUUAAGCCUAGCUUAGUAUUGGGAGCCUACUGUAUUGUAGCUCCCCAAAUCCAACGGCGGAUCUGUGGUAUCCUCUGAGCGUAGUAAUUUUUAUCUCGCUUUUGUUAGGUGCUGCAGCUCUCAGCCGCUAAACCCCCCAAUUUUUUAAUGGUUGACCUCGGAUCAGGUAGGAAUACCCGCUGAACUUAAGCAUAUCAAUAAGCGGAGGCU